This 223-nucleotide ribosomal RNA is filed under the name uncultured bacterium. RNAcentral's name for it is "partial 16S ribosomal RNA". It matches the Rfam family "Bacterial small subunit ribosomal RNA", at positions 328 to 539 of the family's 1533-position model. The record is from RNAcentral.
ACGCUCGACACUUACGGGGGGCAGCAGUAGGGAAUUUUCGUCAAUGGGGGGAACCCUGAACGAGCAAUGCCGCGUGAGUGAAGAAGGUCUUCGGAUCGUAAAGCUCUGUUGUAAGAGAAAAAGGGCGCAUAUAGGAAAUGAUAUGCGAUUGAUGGUAUCUUACCAGAAAGCCACGGCUAACUACGUGCCAGUAGCCGCGGUAAUCUGAGCGGGCUGGCAAGGC